RNAcentral lists this ribosomal RNA (468 nucleotides) under uncultured bacterium. Its description in RNAcentral is "partial 16S ribosomal RNA". It matches the Rfam family "Bacterial small subunit ribosomal RNA", at positions 28 to 507 of the family's 1533-position model. The record is from RNAcentral.
GACGAACGCUGGCGGCGUGCUUAACACAUGCAAGUCGAACGGAAAGGCCCUGCUUUUGUGGGGUGCUCGAGUGGCGAACGGGUGAGUAACACGUGAGUAACCUGCCCUUGACUUUGGGAUAACUUCAGGAAACUGGGGCUAAUACCGGAUAGGAGCCCCUGCUGCAUGGUGGGGGUUGGAAAGUUUCGGCGGUUGGGGAUGGACUCGCGGCUUAUGAGCUUGUUGGUGGGGUAGUGGCUUACCAAGGCUUUGACGGGUAGCCGGCCUGAGAGGGUGACCGGCCACAAUGGGACUGAGAUACGGCCCAGACUCCUACGGGAGGCAGCAGUGGGGAAUAUUGCACAAUGGGCGGAAGCCUGAUGCAGCAACGCCGCGUGCGGGAUGACGGCCUUCGGGUUGUAAACCGCUUUCGCCUGUGACGAAGCGUGAGUGACGGUAAUGGGUAAAGAAGCACCGGCUAACUACGUG